RNAcentral lists this ribosomal RNA (465 nucleotides) under uncultured bacterium. Its description in RNAcentral is "partial 16S ribosomal RNA". It matches the Rfam family "Bacterial small subunit ribosomal RNA", at positions 338 to 795 of the family's 1533-position model. The record is from RNAcentral.
CCUACGGGAGGCAGCAGUAGGGAAUUUUCGUCAAUGGGCGCAAGCCUGAACGAGCGAUGCCGCGUGAGUGAAGAAGGCCUUCGGGUCGUAAAGCUCUGUUGCGGGGGAAAAAACGCAGCAUCAGGAAAUGGGUGCUGACUGAUGGUGCCCCGCCAGACAGUCACGGCUAACUACGUGCCAGCAGCCGCGGUAAUACGUAGGUGGCGAGCGUUAUCCGGAAUGGUUGGGCGUAAAGGGUGCGCAGGCGGUCCUGCAAGUCUGGAGUGAAACGCAUGAGCUCAACCCAUGCAUCGCUUUGGAAACUGGAGGACUGGAGAGCAGGGGAGGGCGGUGGAACUCCAUGUGUAGCGGUAAAAUGCGUAGAUAUGUGGAAGAACACCAGUGGCGAAGGCGGCCGCCUGGCCUGUUGCUGACGCUGAGGCACGAAAGCGUGGGGAGCAAAUAGGAUUAGAUACCCGGGUAGUC